Molecule: transfer RNA, 76 nt
Filed under: Acidimicrobiaceae bacterium
Lineage: Bacteria; Bacillati; Actinomycetota; Acidimicrobiia; Acidimicrobiales; Acidimicrobiaceae
Description: tRNA-Glu
Rfam family: tRNA
About the family: Transfer RNA (tRNA) molecules are approximately 80 nucleotides in length. Their secondary structure includes four short double-helical elements and three loops (D, anti-codon, and T loops). Further hydrogen bonds mediate the characteristic L-shaped molecular structure. tRNAs have two regions of fundamental functional importance: the anti-codon, which is responsible for specific mRNA codon recognition, and the 3' end, to which the tRNAs corresponding amino acid is attached (by aminoacyl-tRNA synthetases). tRNAs cope with the degeneracy of the genetic code in two manners: having more than one tRNA (with a specific anti-codon) for a particular amino acid; and 'wobble' base-pairing, i.e. permitting non-standard base-pairing at the 3rd anti-codon position.
Source: RNAcentral
GGCCCGUUCGUCUAGUGGCCUAGGACACCACCCUCUCAAGGUGGCGGCACGGGUUCGAAUCCCGUACGGGCUGCGA